UACGAAGGGGGCGAGCGUUGUUCGGAUUUACUGGGCGUAAAGGGCGCGUAGGCGGCGGGUCAAGUCGAGUGUGAAAGCCCCGGGCUCAACCUGGGAAUUGCGCUCGAGACUGGUCUGCUUGAGUUCGGGAGAGGAGCGUGGAAUUCCCAGUGUAGAGGUGAAAUUCGUAGAUAUUGGGAAGAACACCGGUGGCGAAGGCGGCUCUCUAGUACGGUACUGACGCUGAGACGCGAAAGCGUGGGGAGCGAACAGG
Molecule: ribosomal RNA, 253 nt
Filed under: uncultured bacterium
Lineage: Bacteria
Description: partial 16S ribosomal RNA
Rfam family: Bacterial small subunit ribosomal RNA
Source: RNAcentral